Non-coding RNA from Ciona savignyi (Pacific transparent sea squirt), 46 nucleotides. NCBI's taxonomy places the organism in Eukaryota, Metazoa, Chordata, Ascidiacea, Phlebobranchia, Cionidae. The record is from Rfam.
CAAGAGGCCUUUUUCGAGGCCACAUUUUUUACAACACGAAUUGCUC